Molecule: ribosomal RNA, 396 nt
Filed under: uncultured bacterium
Lineage: Bacteria
Description: bacterial SSU rRNA
Rfam family: Bacterial small subunit ribosomal RNA
Source: RNAcentral
AAUCAACGCUGGCGGCGUGCUUAACACAUGCAAGUCGAGCGGUAAGGCCCUUUCGGGGGUACACGAGCGGCGAACGGGUGAGUAACACGUGGGUGACCUGCCCUCAGCUCUGGGAUAAGCCUGGGAAACCGGGUCUAAUACCGGAUAUGACUCCAUGACGCAUGUUGUGGGGUGGAAAGCCUUGUGCGGCUGAGGAUGGGCCCGCGGCCUAUCAGCUUGUUGGUGGGGUGANGGCCUACCAAGGCGACGACGGGUAGCCGGCCUGAGAGGGCGACCGGCCACACUGGGACUGAGACACGGCCCAGACUCCUACGGGAGGCAGCAGUGGGGAAUCUUGCGCAAUGGGCGAAAGCCUGACGCAGCGACGCCGCGUGAGGGAUGACGGCCUGGUGUAAC